GACGAACGCUGGCGGCGUGCUUAACACAUGCAAGUCGAACGGAAAGGCCUCUUUCGGGGGGUACUCGAGUGGCGAACGGGUGAGUAACACGUGAGUAACCUGCCCUUGACUUUGGGAUAACUUCAGGAAACUGGGGCUAAUACCGGAUAGGAGCUCCUGCUGCAUGGUGGGGGUUGGAUAGUUUCGGCGGUUGGGGAUGGACUCGCGGCUUAUCAGCUUGUUGGUGGGGUAGUGGCUUACCAAGGCUUUGACGGGUAGCCGGCCUGAGAGGGUGACCGGCCACAUUGGGACUGAGAUACGGCCCAGACUCCUACGGGAGGCAGCAGUGGGGAAUAUUGCACAAUGGGUGGAAGCCUGAUGCAGCAACGCCGUGUGCGGGAUGACGGCCUUCGGGUUGUAAACCGCUUUCGCUCAUGACGAAGCUUUGUGUGACGGUAGUGGGUAAAGAAGCACCGGCUAACUACGUG
RNAcentral lists this ribosomal RNA (467 nucleotides) under uncultured bacterium. RNAcentral's name for it is "partial 16S ribosomal RNA". It matches the Rfam family "Bacterial small subunit ribosomal RNA", at positions 28 to 507 of the family's 1533-position model. The record is from RNAcentral.